GAUGAACGCUGGCGGCGUGCUUAACACAUGCAAGUCGAACGCUGAAGCUCCCAGCUUGCUGGGGGUGGAUGAGUGGCGAACGGGUGAGUAUCACGUGAGGAACCUGCCCUGAACUGUGGGAUAAGCCUGGGAAACUGGGUCUAAUACUACAUAGGACGCUCCAUCGCAUGGUGGGGUGUGGAAAGCUUUUGCGGUUUGGGAUGGUCUCGCGGCCUAUCAGCUUGUUGGUGGGGUAAUGGCCUACCAAGGCUUUGACGGGUAGCCGGCCUGAGAGGGUGACCGGCCACACUGGGACUGAGGCACGGCCCAGACUCCUACGGGAGGCAGCAGUGGGGGAUAUUGCACAAUGGGGGAAACCCUGAUGCAGCGACGCCGCGUGAGGGAUGACGGCCUUCGGGUUGUAAACCUCUUUCAGUUGGGAAGAAGCCCCUUUUUGGGGUGACGGUACCUUCAGAAGAAGCACCGGCUAACUACGUGCCAGCAGCCGCGGUAAUACGUAGGGUGCGAGCGUUAUCCGGAAUUAUUGGGCGUAAAGAGCUCGUAGGCGGUUUGUCGCGUCUGCUGUGAAAGCCCAGGGCUUAACCCUGGGUUUGCAGUGGGUACGGGCAGGCUGGAGUGCAGUAGGGGAGACUGGAAUUCCUGGUGUAGCGGUGAAAUGCGCAGAUAUCNNNAGGAACACCGAUGGCGAAGGCAGGUCUCUGGGCUGUUACUGACGCUGAGGAGCGAAAGCAUGGGGAGCGAACAGG
This 746-nucleotide ribosomal RNA is filed under the name uncultured Yaniella sp. RNAcentral's name for it is "bacterial SSU rRNA". It matches the Rfam family "Bacterial small subunit ribosomal RNA", at positions 28 to 776 of the family's 1533-position model. The record is from RNAcentral. Lineage: Bacteria; Bacillati; Actinomycetota; Actinomycetes; Micrococcales; Micrococcaceae.